GCCUCGCUGGUGUGGUGGUAGUAGCACGCGCCCCCGGUAAGGACGAAACGCAAGUUCGAAUCCUUCCUGAGGCC
Molecule: non-coding RNA, 74 nt
Organism: Parelaphostrongylus tenuis
Lineage: Eukaryota; Metazoa; Nematoda; Chromadorea; Rhabditida; Metastrongylidae
Source: the annotation of a GenBank genome assembly